AAAACAAAAUAAAGUAUUUCACCAUGAUUGAUUAAGAAGACAAUGGUAAUAGAUAAUGCAUUAAAUAUUAUAUACCAUAUAAUCGCUGAGAAUCGAACUCGUAACCCUUUAGAAUUUAUCACAACAAUCACACGGUCCUGGUGGAAAACAUUAUACUUACAACUACGUCAUAUCUCAUAGUAGUUGGUCAAUCGUGAUGAAAUCCCUUUUUAACGAUUGCAAGAAUUUUUUUCCAUAAUAAUAUUUAUUUGACACGGG
This 258-nucleotide long non-coding RNA is filed under the name Lathyrus oleraceus (garden pea). Its description in RNAcentral is "Pisum sativum (pea) long non-coding RNA (PSAT_LNC010543)". Lineage: Eukaryota; Viridiplantae; Streptophyta; Magnoliopsida; Fabales; Fabaceae. The record is from RNAcentral.